This is a long non-coding RNA of Manis pentadactyla (Chinese pangolin), 1296 nucleotides long. RefSeq lists it as uncharacterized. The record is from RefSeq and is a predicted model, not a curated record. The transcript has 3 exons. NCBI's taxonomy places the organism in Eukaryota, Metazoa, Chordata, Mammalia, Pholidota, Manidae.
GCUUGUUUGAACCCCACACUUCAUGUGGAAAUCACAGAGGGGAGAGAGAGAUUACAGCCUGCCACUGUGUUUGAAGGAUCCAAGGGGCAAGACAAAUGGACAGAUGGAAAGAAUUACAGUUCAUCAGAGCAUGAAGAAGAAAAUCCCUCGGAUGGUAGAAACUGAGCCGUAUGCUGAUGUACAUUGACGUACUGUCCAAGUUUGGUUCAGAGAAGAGUCUUCAGCUAGCAGCCAAGAGGCCGAGAUAGGAGCCAAGUGAACACCAAACAUUCAUGGCAAAUGACAAGCAGACCUUAAAAUUUGGAUGGAAAUAUUAAGGACCUAGAAUACAUUAAUCUUGAAGAAGAACAAUUCUGGAGCUCUUGACUUCAAGAUUCAAUAUAAAGAUAAAAUAAAACCAAAUAAGGAUAACCAAAUAAAUAAAUGGCAAAACAGAACAUGGAGCCCAGAAAUAGACUCAGAUGUUGAUUUUCUACAAUGGCAUCCAGCAAUUCAAUAGAUAAGGGCAAAUAUUUUUUAAUAAAUAGUGCUAGAAAAAGUGACUAUGUAUAUAAUGUAUUAUACAUAUUGGGGGAUGGGAAUCUAGACUCUUACUUAUUCCACACACCAAAUUAUUGUAAUACCUUUGCAACCUUGGAUUAAGCAAAGUAUUUAGGCCAGACACAGAAAAAAAAUAAUAAAAGAAAAAAGCAAUGAGACAGCACAAAAUUAAAUACUUCUGUUGAUUAAAAAAAUACUUUUAGAAAAAUAAACAAGCAAACCACAAACUGGGAGAAACAUGGAAACCGUCUUGGCAGUUAGUUAAAAAGGCAUGUAUAGGAAGUUCAAGAAGAGGCAAAACAAAUAUAAUGUGAAAAAAAUCAUUGUUGACCUUUCAAAGACAAUAGAGGUAGUUCACUGGGAAGAGACAUGAAAGAACUUGUGGAGGUAAGAGUUCCAUAUCUUGAUAUGGAUAUAAAUGCAACUCUCUAUGCAUAGCCUUGGUAUAAUCGCCAAGUAAUAUCUAAUAACCCCACCUGAGGCAACUCCUACAAAAUCACUGGCUAAUCAUCUUCAAAAAUGUCAAGAUCAAGAAAGACAAAUAAAGACAGUAUGUUCCAGAUUUAAGGGCCUAGAGAAAAAGGGCAACUACAUACAAUGAAUGCAUCAUCUUGGAUUGGUUUUUGGAGCAGGGUAAAAUCACUAUAAAAGACAUUAUUGAAGCAAUUAAUAAAAUUUGAGUAUGGACUGAAAUAAUGUAAUAUGAAAGAUUUUGAUAAUGCACUGUGGUUAUUUCAAAGAAUUUCUAAGGGAAUA